UACGUAGGUGGCAAGCGUUAUCCGGAAUUAUUGGGCGUAAAGCGCGCGCAGGUGGUUUCUUAAGUCUGAUGUGAAAGCCCACGGCUCAACCGUGGAGGGUCAUUGGAAACUGGGAGACUUGAGUGCAGAAGAGGAAAGUGGAAUUCCAUGUGUAGCGGUGAAAUGCGUAGAUAUCGGGAGGAACAUCAGUGGCGAAGGCGGCUGCCUGGCCCAAUACUGACACUCAGGUGCGACAGCGUGGGGAGCAAACAGG
Molecule: ribosomal RNA, 253 nt
Filed under: uncultured bacterium
Lineage: Bacteria
Description: partial 16S ribosomal RNA
Rfam family: Bacterial small subunit ribosomal RNA
Source: RNAcentral